This 473-nucleotide ribosomal RNA is filed under the name uncultured bacterium. RNAcentral's name for it is "bacterial SSU rRNA". It matches the Rfam family "Bacterial small subunit ribosomal RNA", at positions 34 to 507 of the family's 1533-position model. The record is from RNAcentral.
CGCUGGCGGCAUGCCUAACACAUGCAAGUCAACUUGACUGAAGGAGCAAUCUGACAGUAGAGUGGCGCAAGGGUGCGUAACGCGUAAGUAACUUGCCCAAGGUAAGGAAUAACGUCGAGAAAUCGGCGCUAAUACCUCAUAAUGCAGCGGAUCCGCAUGGAUAUGUUGUUAAAGGUUUACCGCCUUGGGAUAGGCUUGCGUCUGAUUAGCUAGUUGGUGUGGUAACGGCACACCAAGGCUACGAUCAGUAACUGGUCUGAGAGGAUGAUCAGUCACACUGGAACUGAGACACGGUCCAGACUCCUACGGGAGGCAGCAGUGAGGAAUAUUGGGCAAUGCUCGAAAGAGUGACCCAGCAACGCCGCGUGGAGGAUGAAGGUAUUCUAUAUCGUAAACUCCUGUGAGAGCAGACGAAAGACAGAUUAUUAAUCUGGAUGACUGUAUGCUCAGAGGAAGCCCCGGCUAACUACGUG